UAAGGUAACGUUUCCCUCUGAUUUUGUAGA
Molecule: non-coding RNA, 30 nt
Filed under: Mus musculus (house mouse)
Lineage: Eukaryota; Metazoa; Chordata; Mammalia; Rodentia; Muridae
Source: RNAcentral